This is a long non-coding RNA of Eurytemora carolleeae, 1193 nucleotides long. RefSeq lists it as uncharacterized. The transcript has 3 exons. Lineage: Eukaryota; Metazoa; Arthropoda; Copepoda; Calanoida; Temoridae. The record is from RefSeq and is a predicted model, not a curated record.
CACCUCAACAAAUCAAAUCAAACAGACAAGUAAAUUGUAUAUAUAGAUAUAAAUUAUAUUUUCUAGUUACCCGUCUAGUCCGGAGUUCACAAAUCUGUUAACGAAGAAGUUCUAUUUCCAGCGGACUAAGGAAUCCUUCAUAAAAGGAGCAGAAAUGCUUAUCCACGAUGUAAACUUCAGAGAUAUUUAUGCGAAAUUUGUUCGUGAUGUUUCUUCCUUCAAGUUCAAUAAUCUAGAUGUAUAACCUUAACAGUGUUCUGUGUUCAUAAUGUUUUAUCUUUAAGUUCAAUAAUCUAGAUGUUUAAACCUGAACAGUGUUCUGGUGUUCAUAUUUUAUCCUUCAAGUUCAAUAAUCUGAAUGUUAAAACCUGACCAGUCUUUUGUGUUUAUGAUGUUUCAUCCUUCAAGUUUAAAAUUCUAGAUGACUGUCCUGUGUUCAUGAUGUUUUUUAUCCUUCAAGUUCAAUAAUCUGUAUGUUUAAAACUGAACAGUAUUCUGUGUUCGUGAUGUUUCAUCCCUCAAGAUCAAUAAUCCAGAUGUUUAAACCUGAACAGUAUUCUGUGUUCGUGAUGUUUCAUCCUUCAAGUUCAAUAAUCUAGAUGUUUAAACCUGAACAGUGUUCAUUGUUUAUAAUAAUUUAUCCUUCAAGUUCAAUAAUCUAGAUGUUUAAACUUGAACAGUGUUAAGUGUUCAUGUUUCAUCCUUCAAGUUCAAUAAUCUAGAUGUUAAACCUGAACACUGAUGUUUUAUCCUUCAAAUUCAAGAAUGUAAAUGCUUAAACCUGAACACUGUUCUGUGUUUAUAUUUUAUCCUUCAAGUUCAAUAAUCUGGAUGUUAAAACCUGAACAGUCUUCUGUGUUUAUGAUGUUUCAUCCUUCAAGUUCAACUAAUCUAGAUGUUUAAACCUGAACAGUGCUCCUUGUUUUUAAUGAUUUAUCCUUCAAGUUCAAUAAUCUGUAUGUUUAAACCUGAACACUGUUCUGUGUUUAUAUUUUAUCCUUCAAGUUCAAUAAUCAAGAUGUUUAAACCUGAACAGUAUUCUGUGUUUAUGAUGUUUCAUCCUUCAAGUUCAAUAAUCUGGAUGUUUAAUCCUGAACAGUAUUCUGUGUUCAUGAUGUUUUAUCUUUAAGUUCAAUAAUCUAGAUGUUUAAACCUGAACACUGUUCUGGUGUUCAUAUUUUAUCCUUUAAGUU